This is a small nucleolar RNA of Ziziphus jujuba (common jujube), 122 nucleotides long. RefSeq annotates it as small nucleolar RNA snoR77. Lineage: Eukaryota; Viridiplantae; Streptophyta; Magnoliopsida; Rosales; Rhamnaceae. The transcript has a single exon. The record is from RefSeq and is a predicted model, not a curated record.
AGGCAGCCCCUUUGCCUUUGCUAUGACAAGGGAGGCGUUUAACUGCUCGUAAAGCAAUAUCUUUUGCUCUUCAGACUUGCUGAGAUUUUCGUUGAAGCUGGUCUAGUAAGCCUAAGUACAUU